UACGUAGGUGGCAAGCGUUGUCCGGAUUUACUGGGCGUAAAGAGCGCGCAGGCGGUCGUGCAAGUCGCGUGUGAAAGCCCCCGGCUCAACUGGGGAGGGUCACGCGAUACUGUUCGACUUGAAGGCAGGAGAGGGAAGUGGAAUUCCCGGUGUAGUGGUGAAAUGCGUAGAUAUCGGGAGGAACACCAGUGGCGAAGGCGACUUCCUGGCCUGUUCUUGACGCUGAGGCGCGAAAGCUAGGGUAGCAAACGGG
Molecule: ribosomal RNA, 253 nt
Filed under: uncultured bacterium
Lineage: Bacteria
Description: partial 16S ribosomal RNA
Rfam family: Bacterial small subunit ribosomal RNA
Source: RNAcentral